GUCCAUGCCGUAAACGAUGUCAACUAACCGUUGGGUUUCUUUGAAACUUAGUGGUGGAGCUAACGUAUUAAGUUGACCGCCUGGGGAGUACGGCCGCAAGGCUAAAACUCAAAUGAAUUGACGGGGGCCCGCACAAGCGGUGGAGCAUGUGGUUUAAUUCGAUGCAACGCGAAGAACCUUACCUACCCUUGACAUCCAGAGAAUCUGUUAGAGAUAGUAGAGUGCCUUCGGGAGCUCUGAGACAGGUGCUGCAUGGCUGUCGU
This 263-nucleotide ribosomal RNA is filed under the name uncultured bacterium. RNAcentral's name for it is "partial 16S ribosomal RNA". It matches the Rfam family "Bacterial small subunit ribosomal RNA", at positions 793 to 1055 of the family's 1533-position model. The record is from RNAcentral.